AGAUGCGUUUUGGGAACUCACUGGCUUCGGAUCCCAUAAGAACUCCGAAGUUAAGCGAGUUCGAGCGAGAGCAAUCCUAGGAUGUGUGACCCCCUGGGAAAUUCUCGUGACGGAACCCAAGAACAAAUCCGUAAGGGCGUGGCCCAAAGCGGACAAUAUCUUGUUAUGCAGACUGAGAUGUGACAAUUUGGUAUCAAAGCCACUUUGCCGUUCUGUGCAGAUGUGCCGGCGAGAAUGCCAGGUUCCCCUUAAAUAGGGUGGAUUGUAAGAUCCCACAUCGACCAACAAAGAGAAGGUGAUGUGCCUUAUAUAUACAUACUCACCUCCCAUUGCAAGACGUGUUUUGGGAACUCAUUGGCUCUGGAUCCCAUAAAAACUCCGAAGUUAAGCAAGUUCGGGUGAUAGCAAUAUUAGGAUUGGUGAUCCCUGGAAAGUUCUCAUUCUGAAACCC
Molecule: small RNA, 451 nt
Filed under: Malus domestica (apple)
Lineage: Eukaryota; Viridiplantae; Streptophyta; Magnoliopsida; Rosales; Rosaceae
Source: RNAcentral